This 435-nucleotide ribosomal RNA is filed under the name uncultured bacterium. RNAcentral describes it as "partial 16S ribosomal RNA". It matches the Rfam family "Bacterial small subunit ribosomal RNA", at positions 29 to 507 of the family's 1533-position model. The record is from RNAcentral.
AGCGAACGCUGGCGGCAGGCUUAACACAUGCCAGUCGAGCGGGCACUUUCGGGUGUCAGCGGCGGACGGGUGAGUAACGCGUGGGAACGUGCCCUCUGGUUCGGAAUAACUCAGGGAAACUUGAGCUAAUACCGGAUACGCCCUUUUGGGGAAAGGCUUGCUGCCGGAGGAUCGGCCCGCGUCUGAUUAGCUAGUUGGUGAGGUAACGGCUCACCAAGGCGACGAUCAGUAGCUGGUCUGAGAGGAUGAUCAGCCACACUGGGACUGAGACACGGCCCAGACUCCUACGGGAGGCAGCAGUGGGGAAUAUUGGACAAUGGGCGCAAGCCUGAUCCAGCCAUGCCGCGUGAGUGAUCAAGGCCUUAGGGUUGUAGAGCUCUUUUAUCCGGGACGAUAAUGACGGUACCGGAGGAAUAAGCCCCGGCUAACUUCGUG